UGUCUUAAAAAGCGCAUCUUUGAUUAAGACCGCAAGAUUUAGACAUGAAAUUCAAAUUGAGAUGAGCUUCAAAAGGAGCCACAUCAGCAACUGAUUUUCAAUCUGACAGACUGAGCAGAGGACAGAAAGUUGAGUGGGAAGCUCAUCGUGAUAAGAAGGAUGUCCAACACGACUGAUAGAUGGUGAUGACGUUUAAGAACACUCCAAACAGAAUGUUGUGCCAUGUGGGAAAAAAAAAGAAAAUCAUAUCAACAGCAUCUUCCUGCAGCAUGGUUCCCGGGUCCGACUCCUCAGCUUCCACACAGCGUAUUUCAGUAACAGAGGGGAGUCUUGUGUCUAAUUUAUGACAUACAACCAUGAGAGAUUCAUCAUCAAGCUGAAAUUUCAUCACCAGUCCCCUCUUUGAUAUAUUGCUGGAUCUAUCCAAUUGCGUGUUUGUGUGUUCAUGCAGAGAGAUAAUCAUUUGCAGGUAAAUAUGUUUAUUCUAACUUGUCUGUCAGGAGGAUUCAGUGCAAAGGCACUAUCAAUAUGACUGUUGCAUGCUGGUUAUUUGUAAUUUGCCCUCUAUUGCUUUCAUAGCAUCAGGAAAAAAAUGUCACUUUUCUCUAACAGCCACUCAAGUGUAUCACGACUUCACGAGUGACAAGUCACUCUUCUUUCAUGCUAAUCGUGACUCAUGUGUCUUCAUCUGCAUGUGUGGCACAGAUGCGUGUCAUCUGAGCAGUCCAAAACAUUGGAAAUGUGAUCGUGCAGGAAAACAUGUUUUCCCCUCUAUAAUUAUUAAGUCCUUAUUUUCAUCAAAGAUAAUAUUGUAUAAAAAUAUAGCCCAGCCAU
Carassius gibelio (silver crucian carp) is the source of this 834-nucleotide long non-coding RNA. RefSeq lists it as uncharacterized. The record is from RefSeq and is a predicted model, not a curated record. The transcript has 3 exons. Lineage: Eukaryota; Metazoa; Chordata; Actinopteri; Cypriniformes; Cyprinidae.